This is a non-coding RNA of Cherax quadricarinatus, 2010 nucleotides long. NCBI's taxonomy places the organism in Eukaryota, Metazoa, Arthropoda, Malacostraca, Decapoda, Parastacidae. The record is from RefSeq and is a predicted model, not a curated record.
UUAAAUUGCGUUUAUAAUAUUGCUUACAAACACUGUCCAGAAUGUCUUUCUGUCAAGUUUGUCAAAGUUAUGAACCACAGCCAGUAUGGUACUAGGGGAAAGUGUACGCAACUUUGUAGUACCUACACUAGGCGGUUAGUCUUCAAACACGUUUUAUUAUGCAGCAAUAAAGGAGUGGAGCGGACUGCCUGAACGUGUCAAGGACAGUCCUAGCAUGAUUCAGUUCAGGAAGACACCUGAAAGGUAGGAGAGUGAUUUCUUGUAUAGUCAACAUUGGUAUACCUAUUACUGUAAGCUGAUCCUCUCUUUUAUGUUCAUGUAAAUAACUCUGUUCACUUUAUUCCUAUUUUCACCUCCUUUUACGCCAUUCCCAAGAGUGGCGCAAACCUUGCAGUGAGAACACAGGCUGCGACUUCUCCCCAGAGUGGCGCAAACCUUGCAGUGAGAACACAGGCUGCUACUUCUCCCCAGAGUGGCGCAAACCUUGCAGUGAGAACACAGGCUGCUACUUCUCCCCAGAGUGGCGCAAACCUUGCAGUGAGAACACAGGCUGCUACUUCUCCCCAGAGUGGCGCAAACCUUGCAGUGAGAACACAGGCUUCGACUUCUCCCCAGAGUGGCGUAAAUAUUGCAGUGAGAACGCAGGCUGCGACUUCUCCCCAGAGUGGCGCAAACCUUGCAGUGAGAACACAGGCUGCGACUUCUCCCCAGAGUGGCGUAAAUAUUGCAGUGAGAACACAGGCUGCGACUUCUCCCCAGAGUGGCGCAAACCUUGCAGUGAGAACGCAGGCUGCGACUUCUCCCCAGAGUGGCGCAAACCUUGCAGUGAGAACACAGGCUGCGACUUCUCCCCAGAGUGGCGUAAACCUUGCAGUGAGAACGCAGGCUGCGACUUCUCCCCAGAGUAGCACAAACCUUCAACUCGCUGUGGACCGAUAACACUUUCACCAGUUAACAACGAGGACCAGUAAUGAUGUGGACCGCCGACUGGUGGCUCGCGGACCAGCAGUGGUUCAUGGCCCACUACUUUGAGAAGUGCUGGUUUAGUGCCCUCGCCAAACUGUAGAUUAGGUGUAAUUUUUUUCCCAGCCAUGAUAUUGGGUUGUAUUUUGUCAGUAACUGCCUGGUAGUGUUGAAGCCUGUCACAACUGCUCGCUAAACCUGCUCAUAUUUACCCUUAGUAACUCGCUCUAUGCGAAGGUUAGAAGACAAAUCCGGGAGUUAUUGGACAACUUGAAACUCUGAAGCUCGAACAGAGAAGAUAAGAAAAAACACAGAUAUCUGAAGGAUAUUUGAAGAUGGUUUAGAGGUUCAUUGUUCUCAUAUCCCGGUCCAGAACAUGGAUCCUAAUGGCAAUAAGUCGCUUCGUCUGACCUUUUUUUUUUUUUUUGGGGGGGGGGGGGGUUACCCUAGGUAAUUACACAUAUGCUGCUAUUAUGUGUACCUAUACCUAAAUAAACUUACUCGGAGUUGACAGCCUCAUCAGUGAGGCUGUCAGUACUCUCUGCACUCAGUUCGACCUUUUGUCCGAAAUAACCUGCGUGAUAGUGGCUCUCUUUUGUACCUAAUAAUCUUUUAUUACAUAUAAGCUACAUUAUCUGUAUGCUACAUAAAAUAUAAAGAAUUUAAAUUUUAGCAUCACAACUCGGCUGAUCAGGCACUUUAGUUCUCUUUUAAAAGAGGAAGACUUAGUAACUUUAAAGGUGAUUUUCAAGUUCUCCGCAGGAUGCAACCCAGAAUAUUCGACAGACUCCUAGCUGACUGCUAGUUAACGGGCAGUAGGGGUCAUGAAACUCCCUUAUUUACUGUCUAGUAAGUAAGCUUAUUAGGCUCAGGUACACAUGAGCACAAUUAUCAUACGUAGUGUAAAUUACCCCUAAAAAAGUCGGAGUAACGUAUGUCCACUGGGGUCCUUGUAAUAUCUUAUUAUUUAAAGGUUUAAACAGCUAAAUAACUCAACUGUUUGAAAAUCAAUUACAAUGAAAGAAAAUAAACUAAAAAUAAGGUAAA